Molecule: ribosomal RNA, 497 nt
Filed under: uncultured bacterium
Lineage: Bacteria
Description: partial 16S ribosomal RNA
Rfam family: Bacterial small subunit ribosomal RNA
Source: RNAcentral
GAUGAACGCUGGCGGCGUGCCUAAUACAUGCAAGUCGAGCGAACAGACGAGGAGCUUGCUUCUCUGACGUUAGCGGCGGACGGGUGAGUAACACGUGGAUAACCUACCUAUAAGACUGGGAUAACUUCGGGAAACCGUAGCUAAUACCGGAUAAUAUUUUGAACCGCAUGGUUCAAAAGUGAAAGACGGUUUUGCUGUCACUUAUAGAUGGAUCCGCGCUGCAUUAGCUAGUUGGUAAGGUAACGGCUUACCAAGGCAACGAUGCGUAGCCGACCUGAGAGGGUGAUCGGCCACACUGGAACUGAGACACGGUCCAGACUCCUACGGGAGGCAGCAGUAGGGAAUCUUCCGCAAUGGGCGAAAGCCUGACGGAGCAACGCCGCGUGAGUGAUGAAGGUCUUCGGAUCGUAAAACUCUGUUAUUAGGGAAGAACAAAUGUGUAAGUAACUAUGCACGUCUUGACGGUACCUAAUCAGAAAGCCACGGCUAACUACGUG